Corapipo altera (White-ruffed manakin) is the source of this 480-nucleotide long non-coding RNA. RefSeq lists it as uncharacterized. Lineage: Eukaryota; Metazoa; Chordata; Aves; Passeriformes; Pipridae. The transcript is spliced from 3 exons. The record is from RefSeq and is a predicted model, not a curated record.
UACAUGGAAAUACUUUGGCAGGCAGAAAACACUCCUGUUAGUAACUGCACACAGCAAAAUACACAGGUAGUUGUUUUCCAUAUGAACAUUUCAGUAACUCUCAAACCUUUGAAUCCUUUUUUCACCAUAACAGCAGGACCAGAAACCUCCUAACUGCUUGAGCUGAGCUAGUGGGCCUUAAUUUUGAUAGUUUCUCUCUAGCUGUGCCAAAGAGCUGCUGCACUGGAGUAAAUCUUGGUCUCUUCAGUCUCUGUGCUGCGACAAGAGUUGUCUUUGCUCUUCUGAAAACAGACAUUACUUGUCUUCAAGGACUGAGACUGGUUGGUUUAGCUCUUAUUGGGUCUCUUCAUAAGCCAAGACUUGCCAAGGAGUGUUCUUUUGCAGCAGGUGAAUAAGUAGGAUGAAGUUAAACCUGCCAGGCAGAUGCUGGGAUGAGUUCCUGGGAGGAUCCAUCCAUCCAUCCCGAUCGGGAGAGCACAC